This 249-nucleotide ribosomal RNA is filed under the name Triticum aestivum (bread wheat). RNAcentral's name for it is "partial small subunit ribosomal RNA". Lineage: Eukaryota; Viridiplantae; Streptophyta; Magnoliopsida; Poales; Poaceae. The record is from RNAcentral.
AUGUCAUGCAGAUUCUAGCUGGACCGCUGGAUUAAUGGGCAAACGGCGGUGGAGAUCGCCCCCCUUGUCUUCAAUCUUGUCCCUCGCCGACGUCGAAAGAACCGCCUGGUGCGCGACGGUAUACACCAAAGGGUGUGGGUCCAAGACAUCCAGGGCGCCCUCGGCCCCUUGGUGUUGCUGAAGUAUGUCGAGUUGUGGUGUCAGGUGCAGCUCGUUCAACUUACCGACUCACCUGACGCGAUUCGCUAG